Molecule: long non-coding RNA, 491 nt
Organism: Anarrhichthys ocellatus (wolf-eel)
Lineage: Eukaryota; Metazoa; Chordata; Actinopteri; Perciformes; Anarhichadidae
Exons: 2
Source: RefSeq, a predicted model, not a curated record
GCCAAAUGCCCUCCGACCUCUGACAACAGCUCUGAGCUCUAUGAGAAGCUGAACCCUGCGCCUAAAUGCUGAAGUCAGCGCCCUGCACACAGUUUAUGGAUAAAUAUUUCACUGGAUCAAGAAGUGGUGCCUCCACACUCUCCUCCAUAAACUGUGAACUCAUCACUUAUUCAUCAUUCAUAUCAUAAAGUGGUUGAAUCUAGCUGUAGAUGCUCAUCGAUUGGAACACAAAGAAAACUAGGAGCAAACAUCAGUGGUGACGUUAAAUGAUUUGGAUCGUUUAGUUUCAACUUAACAAAAUGUAAUUUCCUCUGAUGAGAUUAAAUCAAAUGAGGAAGAUUAUUGUUGGAGAUCUUAGAACAAUGAAAGCAUCACAGCACUCUGCACACACAAAGAUUUGUGUUCAUCUAAAACAAAUCCUCCAUAUUUACACUUUAAUGCUUCUGCUGUUGGGUUUCUGGUUCAAUCAAUAUUGGUAACACAAAUGUAAG